AGCCCUGGGCUCCCCCAGUGUUGCCUGGAUCUGACUUUGCCUCAGUGAAAACCGCCUCGAGUUCUUUCUUGCACCGAUGGGCAGAUAGUGUCAGAGGAUCGUGUCAUCUGUCCUGUGG
Molecule: unclassified non-coding RNA, 118 nt
Organism: Nomascus leucogenys (northern white-cheeked gibbon)
Lineage: Eukaryota; Metazoa; Chordata; Mammalia; Primates; Hylobatidae
Source: Ensembl